GUAAAUGCGAGGUUGUGCUCCGUGGAGCGGCAGUCGGCAGUCAGGGGUUGACUCCUGGCUCGUGCAGCAUCACGGUGGAUCCCGUGGGGAAGAAGCCGCUCAGAGGGUGUGACCUGCACUAUACACACUUAGCAUGGAAAGGUGAAUGACUACAACGCGGCCACACGCCAAGCUGCAGACAGGCCUCUCAAAGUCACGGACAAAGACUCGUUAAGAAAAUGAAGACAAAUAUCCUGGGGAGUGUGUGAUAGUCCAUCUGAUUGUUUUCUUCAACCUUUAAUACUUGCUUCUGGAGUUAAUUAAAAAAUUUAGGAAAAUGGAAUAAUUGUUUUAAUGUUGACUUAGAGAAGAAAAAAAUCUCAAUUUGAAUGUGAGGUCAAAGAACGUACUUAUACUGUGCAGCAGAGUAGUCCAAUCCCUCACGGAACGCACUUCAAGCGACACAGUAGCUCCUCGUCUGUCCUCAUGCUCAGGAACGCGACACAGAAAGGCGUCUGAGCGGGAAAUGCCGCCCUCACACCCAGGAGCUCACCUGCGCCCUGCUGUGGAGCUUCAACAUUGUGGGGGACAAAGACAGAGAGUCCUGGAUUGUCUUGUCCAGUCCGCCCCAGUCCAGCCCUCGUGCCUCCCACCAAGAUUUAUCGAGGCACCUAGUCAUCAAAUUACCUGCCUCCUCAGAGCUCCUACCCAGAGCAAAGCCCUGUUUCCUGAAACUCCCCAAAUUGCCGAAGACAAGCCAGAUCCUGGAACAGGUUCUUUCUGAUACCCUCUUGCUGAGAAGCCCCACAGUUCCCAUGGUGUGUUCUCUCUUUGAUGAGUAAUGGAUCCAACUUGUGUUCUGGUGGCAUUUGGCUGGAGGAGGACAUUAAGGUCAGGACAAGUCACAGAGACGCUGACGAUUCAUUUCUUGAUCUGACUGGCGGUCGUAUCAGUGUUCAUGUGAUAAUUCAUUCAAAUAUACACUUACGUGUUGUUCACUUUCUCACGUGUGUAAUAUUUUGUGAUAAAAAUUCUUUUUUAAAAUUCUGCUUUGGAUACAGAAAUAUAUUUCUUAGCCCAGGAAUAAAAUAUUCCCUUCAGAAAAUUUACUGGGUAAGAUCAAUCACAAAUAUCAAUAAUGAUAAUAUUUUUAAAUCCUAGAAACACAAGUCUCAUGUUUAGUCAUUAACAUAGUGGGGGAUAAAAAAGAGGUGCAACAGACCAAUAUUGCAAAAGGUAGUGACAGUUUACAUCAACACAAACAUUCUGGUCUGUUUUCUCUGGUCAAAUGCCUUUGAACUCAGACUACCAAAUUCAUUCAAAUGAAUGGGGUGAAAGGACAUGAGCACACAUGUGUUUCAAUCAGAGACAGAGACACUGAGGACUUAU
RNAcentral lists this long non-coding RNA (1368 nucleotides) under Equus asinus (donkey). Its description in RNAcentral is "lncRNA (ENSEASG00005025345.1)". The record is from RNAcentral. Lineage: Eukaryota; Metazoa; Chordata; Mammalia; Perissodactyla; Equidae.